This 1077-nucleotide ribosomal RNA is filed under the name Triticum aestivum (bread wheat). RNAcentral describes it as "partial small subunit ribosomal RNA". Lineage: Eukaryota; Viridiplantae; Streptophyta; Magnoliopsida; Poales; Poaceae. The record is from RNAcentral.
AUGGCAGCCUCUCCGGCUGAAGUUCUCCAGCGUUGCAAGAGGCAAAAGAAGGACCCCAGUUGUCUGGGAAACUCGCCGGUCCUUCCGGCCACGGCAACUGCAGACUGGUCCUCGCUCCAGCUCGACAUAGUCCGCCGCAUCGCCGACUCCUUCCUCGCCACCAAUGACAUUGACUGCUACAUGGACUUGCGCGCCGUCUGCCACAGCUGGCGUUCCGCCACCCACGACCCCAAGGACAACAUUUUGGACCACCGGUUCCUUCCGCGCCGAUGGAUCAUCCUCGACGAGGUCUUUCAGAGUGGAACGCACCGCCUCUUGGUCAACACCGCCACCGGCCGAAUCCUCCACAAAGAGCUCCCUCUGCUCUCUGACUACUAUAUCGUCACUACGUCUCUCGACGGCUUCUUCGUCCUGGCAGAUAGGAGCCCCCCUCAUGCUGCUCGUGUCUUCAACCCUCUCACUGGUGGCAUCAUCCCUUUCACGGUGCCCGUGCCGCCUGAUGUGAAUGCCCCCUGUUCGCUCUGCUUUGGGUUCGCUUCGCCCGUGCUCACCUUGCUCUCCAAGUCAUGUUGCAAGAUAUACAUAGCCAGUCCUCACAGUUUUGGCGCCCAUGACUUUGAGCUUUCACUCUAUGGUCUUAUUAGGAGGCAGGUCAAAGACGACACCCGGUGUUUCCUAAUGGAUUUUGGUGGACAACUGAUGGCCAUCAUCAAGGGACAACUCGUCCAGAAUUUAAGGUACGAAGCCAAGAAUGGCGUGCUUUUGCAUUUGAAGAGCAUUGGCAACCAUGCCAUCUUCCUUGGUCAUCAUAGGUGCCUAGCUGUGGAUACUGAUAUGUUCCCAUUGAUUGAGGCAAACUGUGUUUACUACACUGAACAACUGGGUUUAUCUGCUCGUAUAUGGAAAUGCAACAUCAAGGACGAGAAAGUUGAGAGCAUCUCGGAAGCCGUUGAUUUUGUGAAGCAGGAUAAGCAGUUUGUCCUCGUCGGCGACCGUCCUUUAAUGAUCAUCCAGCUUCUGUCAAGCUACACCAUAAAUAUCCAGGAUUCUGAACUGGCCUUACAGCAGAUCGCAUGA